GUCUACAUCCAUGCUACUCUGAAUAAGCCCGAUCCCGUCUGAUCUCGGAAGCUAAGCAGGGUUGAGCCUUGUUGGUACUUGGAUGGGAGACCACCUAGGAAGAUCAGGUGCUAUAGGUG
This is a non-coding RNA of Pteropus alecto (black flying fox), 119 nucleotides long. The record is from Rfam. NCBI's taxonomy places the organism in Eukaryota, Metazoa, Chordata, Mammalia, Chiroptera, Pteropodidae.